Non-coding RNA from Trichomycterus rosablanca, 396 nucleotides. NCBI's taxonomy places the organism in Eukaryota, Metazoa, Chordata, Actinopteri, Siluriformes, Trichomycteridae. The record is from the annotation of a RefSeq genome assembly.
AUGUUACUCCUUUUCUUCGUUUUACUCAUUACUGAUGAAAAUGCAGAAGCUGCUGAGAGUAUUACAGCAGAUAAACCCAGCUUAACAUCAGAUGAAGGCAGCAACAUCACACUAUCCUGCACAUAUGAAUCAACAUAUAAUCAACUUCACUGGUAUCGACAAAAACCUGGAUCAACACCAGAGUUUCUGCUGCUGACUAAUGAGGGUGCUGUCACCACGGCUGAACCACCUGACCCAAGAAUGUCCAUCAGUUUUAACAAAACGAAUAAGAAAGUAGAACUGGAGAUCAACUCUGCUGCAGUAUCUGACUCUGCUCUGUACUAUUGUGCUCUGCAGCCCACAGUAGCAGGAAAUUCAGCUACACUGUACAAAAACCUCUCAGAGGAGGAGCUAUAA